UUCAAGUUUCAGCUGGUGAUGAGGGGUGCCUAGGUAACUCGUAGUUAAAGGCGCCUCGCCUGCGGGCAUCCUAGUCAAGGUGCCUAGAUUUCGUCUUGCUUGGGUGCCUCUUGACAGAUACAUACCGCCAUGAUGUGCAACCUAUUCAGUUCAUGCUUCGACAUGCAUUUUUGUAUAUUAUUGUAUUUUUCAUUAUCCUUUCUAGGAAGUUCCAAG
This 216-nucleotide unclassified non-coding RNA is filed under the name Hevea brasiliensis (rubber tree). The record is from RNAcentral. Lineage: Eukaryota; Viridiplantae; Streptophyta; Magnoliopsida; Malpighiales; Euphorbiaceae.